GAUGAAGAACGUAGCGAAAUGCGAUAAGUAAUGUGAAUUGCAGAAUUCAGUGAAUCAUCGAAUCUUUGAACGCACAUUGCGCCCGCCAGUAUUCUGGCGGGCAUGCCUGUUCGAGCGUCAUUUCAACCAUCAAGCCCCCGGCUUGUGUUGGGGACCUGCGGCUGCCGCAGGCCCUGAAAACCAGUGGCGGGCUCGCUAGUCACUCCGAGCGUAGUAAUACAUCUCGCUCAGGGCGUGCUGCGGGUUCCGGCCGUUAAAAAGCCUUAUUUACCCAAGGCUGACCUCGGAUCAGGUAGGAAGACCCGCUGAACUUAAGCAUAUCAAUAAGCGGAGGA
RNAcentral lists this unclassified non-coding RNA (335 nucleotides) under soil metagenome. RNAcentral's name for it is "partial contains 5.8S ribosomal RNA, internal transcribed spacer 2, and large subunit ribosomal RNA". The stretch from base 1 to 120 matches the Rfam family "5.8S ribosomal RNA", at positions 35 to 154 of the family's 154-position model. The record is from RNAcentral.